Molecule: long non-coding RNA, 366 nt
Organism: Oncorhynchus tshawytscha (Chinook salmon)
Lineage: Eukaryota; Metazoa; Chordata; Actinopteri; Salmoniformes; Salmonidae
Source: Ensembl
GUAGAGUGUCAGGGUGGUAGAGUGGUAGAGUGUCAGGGUGGUAGAGUGGUAUAGUGUCAGGGUGGUAGAGUGUCAGGGUGGUAGAGUGUCAGGGUGGUAGAGUGGUAUAGUGUCAGGGUGGUAGAGUGGUAUAGUGUCAGGGUGGUAGAGUGUCAGGGUGGUACAGUAUCAGGGUGGUAGAGUGUCAGGGUGGUAGAGUGUCAGGGUGGUAGAGUGUCAGGAUGGUAUAGUGUCAGGGUGGUAGAGUGUCAGGGUGGUAGAGUGGUAUAGUGUCAGGGUGGUAGAGUGGUAGAGUGUCAGGGUGUCAGGGUGGUAUAGUGUCAGGGUGGUAGAGUGUCAGGAUGGUAGAGUGUCAGGGUGGUAGAG